CCUGGCGGCCAUAGCGCCGUGGAACCACCUGAUCCCAUGCCGAACUCAGAAGUGAAACGCGGUAGCGCCGAUGGUAGUGUGGCAUUCGCCAUGCGAGAGUAGGACACUGUCAGGC
RNAcentral lists this ribosomal RNA (115 nucleotides) under Aeromonas hydrophila. Lineage: Bacteria; Pseudomonadati; Pseudomonadota; Gammaproteobacteria; Aeromonadales; Aeromonadaceae. The record is from RNAcentral. RNAcentral also lists the same sequence under 3 other names.